GACGAACGCUGGCGGCGUGCUUAACACAUGCAAGUCGAACGGAAAGGCCCUGCUUUUGUGGGGUGCUCGAGUGGCGAACGGGGGAGUAACACGUGAGUAACCUGCCCUUGACUUUGGGAUAACUUCAGGAAACUGGGGCUAAUACCGGAUAGGAGCUCCUGCUGCAUGGGGGGGGAUGGAAAGUUUCGGCGGUUGGGGAUGGACUCGCGGCUUAUCAGCUUGUUGGUGGGGUAGUGGCUUACCAAGGCUUUGACGGGUAGCCGGCCUGAGAGGGUGACCGGCCACAUUGGGCCUGAGAUACGGCCCAGACUCCUACGGGAGGCAGCAGUGGGGAAUAUUGCACAAUGGGCGGAAGCCUGAUGCGGCAACGCCGCGUGCGGGAUGACGGCCUUCGGGUUGUAAACCGCUUUCGCCUGUGCCGAAGCGUGAGUGACGGUAAUGGGUAAAGAAGCACCGGCUAACUACGUG
RNAcentral lists this ribosomal RNA (468 nucleotides) under uncultured bacterium. RNAcentral describes it as "partial 16S ribosomal RNA". It matches the Rfam family "Bacterial small subunit ribosomal RNA", at positions 28 to 507 of the family's 1533-position model. The record is from RNAcentral.